RNAcentral lists this long non-coding RNA (7441 nucleotides) under Lactuca sativa (garden lettuce). Its description in RNAcentral is "long non-coding RNA (LSAT_LNC001066)". The record is from RNAcentral. Lineage: Eukaryota; Viridiplantae; Streptophyta; Magnoliopsida; Asterales; Asteraceae.
GGCAUCCCAGUCACAAAACCUGAAGGGCACACUCGAGAUUGAAACAUGCCUUUGAAAAGUUCAAUGAAUCUCAAAGAUCUAGGAGUUUCAAAACCAAUUAAAACCUAAUAAUACAUUUCGUUUAUCUUGGUGGAAAUUGGUGAAUCGUCAUUCACCUACCUUCAAAUAUUUUAUAGCUUGGAUUACGGCAUACCUCUUCUAAGUUAUAAAAUAGUUUGUUGGGUCCUAGCCUUAAUAUUUCAUAUUGGGUGUCAUAUUAAGGACUUUAAAUCAACUAUCUUGAAUAUCUCCCAAAAGAUGUCUGGUUUAGACACCUAUGAUCUUCCCAAAUCUCUUGAAACAAGGUUUCCUAAUGAAGAUGAUGUCCCAUGGAUAUCAUACUUCUUUCUCCUCCUCCAACUAUUCUCCCUAACCCACAAGUUCUUGAAAAGUUUAAGGUCACUCAAGCCCUAUUGGCAAGGCAAGGUCUAGGUGUGAUCACAUCUUGGAGAUGUAGUCACAUAUUGACAAGCCGGGAGAGUUGGGUGUCAAAGUCUUGAGAAAGUUGGUGGUUCAAUCACUUUCUAAGUCACAUAGUGAGUUCCUUUGGGACACCUAUGAAACAGACUAUGACAAGACCCUUAAUGAUCUUAUCUAUUUGCUAAGAUCAACUUCCUAAAACUUUAUGGACAUUGACAAUGAUGACAUUGGAUAUCCAGUAAAGCAUUCUCUUCCCAAUGGAAAGGGAUCGGCCAUAGUCAACUCGGUUGACCAAAUGGUAAAGAGAAAAGCUAAGUCUGUGAUAGUCCCGUGUACCAUUAUCAAAGGGUCCAUAUGUUUAUAUUGCCAAAGGAAGGGGCAUUGGUUGCGAAGCUGCCAAAUUUACCUAAGGAUGUUAAAGUCAAUAAGUUUGACUCUACUUCAGGUAAAGUCCACUAUCUAACUCUGUUAAGUUUCUAUUCUGAGAUUCUUGAUACAUGAUGUGACUGGGUCACAUGGUGAUGUUUUAAGAAUCAAAGAAAAGUGAAGAAACUUAAAGAAAGAAUAUGCUGAAUCUGAUGGCGUAGAUGGAUUUCUAUCGCAUAGUUUGAAGAUCGGAUUCUUGAGCUACUUCUUAGGAGUUAUGAGAUAUUGCUUAGGAAUAGAUAACAACAAGUUUUCAUAUGGAUUGUAAGGAUAAGUUUUUCCGCAAAGUUUUAAAAUAAAAGAAAAUUUUUUUGAUUUUAUUUAUUUUAAAAUAUCCUUACAAUGGCUUUUGAGGAAAAAUUGUUGCUUAUAUGAUUCCAUUAAGAGCAAGAGUGGAAAUAUGAAAUUGAUUCUUUCAUUUGUGGUAAUGUCUAGAUUUACCAAAUAAGGAAAGAUUCUCAUCACCCAAGUUUCAAUUGGACCGGAACUUGGAAUCAUGCAAGUUGUAUAGCAUGAUGAAUGAGAACUUUCAAGUUUUGGAAAAUUAAGACUAAUUACUUGUUCACAUGGAUGUGUGAGUCAAGUAAAGGACUAAGGGAUCGAGUACACAUUCUUGUGCACUGAUUAAGUCCACCACAAAAGAUUGAUAAGACUAUUCGUCAUAGUUUACUAAAGCUCAGUAAAUAUGAUUAUACUUACAAGCUUAAGUGUAACUCUGAGACAUUGGAAAAGGUUCCAAUGUAUGGCAGAGCGAAUAAGAAGAAUCAAAUUAGGCAGAAGGAUAAAAGUUUCUCAUAUCUGAAAAGAUGGGAGAGUACUUUAGUAUCAGUUUUGUGAUCAUCUUAAUGAUUAAGAAACCAUAUCAAAAUUAGUUCUCUAAGGAAAUCUUAGUGCAUUCUUAUGACUAAGAAGAGGAACUUGAAUUGUUGAAAUGGUUAAAUCAAGAAGAUGAGUCAUACUUCGUUCCAAUACAAGUCUUAGAGUCAUACUCCAAGAUUGUCAUUUGAGUGACAUGUCUUAAAGAAGGUUUAAAACACUUGUCAAAUGUAAGAGUAAAAGUUUUCUACUCUUGUACAUUUGAAAUUGGUAAGUUGUGAUGUUUUGGAUAAAACAAAGACCAACUUAGGCCAAUUGGGUAAAGUGUUUUUCUUGAUUAGAAUCCGCACUAUCUCUUGGAUGUUUGACAAGGGAGUCUUAUAUGUCAAGAGGACAGUGGGAGUCUUAAAGGUCUUGAAAGUCUCAAGAAAUAAUCAAGAAUAAAACCUGAAGUUCUUCACUAGCACACGACUUGAGGUUUAUAACCUAUCGUGUUGACAUAUCUGUGCCCAUUCCAGUUAAAGUUGGCUUUGCAUAUGAGUUCUUAGAGUUCUCAGUUUGUUGCAUAACAACUUGGAAGCAAUGGCAGGCCCUUGAGCUGCCAGGUGGCAAGAAGUUAAGAUUGAGUUCAAUCCAUAUGGUUUUGGAUUUGUCAUUAUCUUUGUCUUGUGAUUAUGGUUUGACAAAUUCAUAUGGGUAGGAACUCAUACACCAUAUAAAUCUAAGUGUCAUAAGGUUUCUCUCCGAUUCAUGAAAAUGAUGGUGAGGAAACGCUUUCACUAAGUAGAUUUUACGAAGAUAUCAAUUGUGUUAUUUGCAUUUUCAAAAGUCGUUAGUGGAGCGCGUGUGGUUAACCGGCACACUAACAUGGACUUGUGAGAAAUGGCAAAUGCCUAAGCAAUUGAGACCAUGAUUACGGUAUCCCUUUUCAUGGUUCUUGAAAUUGCUUAGACACACAGGUGAGCUAUCUACGGAAAGGGUGUAUGAAUCUAAAUUUCAGACUGUCCAGCUGAUUUCUGAGUACAUGUCAAAGCUAGUGGGAGCAUAAGUGUUAUGCUAAUAAUCAUCAUGUUAGUGGGAGCAUGAUAAUUAUGAUAAGUAUUGCAAGUUAGCAAUGUUAAUUAUAGAAAACAAAAGUUUCAAUUGGGAAAAAGUUGUUUUGCUAUAAUUAAGGGAGAGGAAAUUAUGCUUCAUCUCAAAUCUAUAAGCUUAGAUCGUGAGGUUUUAAUCAUUUAGUCAAGGAUAUAUAUGAAUUUCAUGUUGGAAUGGCUCAACAUAAGGAAAUUCUGUAUAUGGGUCCAUUAUUUGCGUUCUAAAAUUCGAUUAUGAUUACGGCAUCCCUUUUCAUAAUCUGAAUUAUGAGAACUUGGCAAAUUGAAAUGGAAAUAUUAUAGCAAAAGACUGGUUUAGUCUUUAUGUAAGACAUCAUGAAUCGUGUCCCAUAUGCUUCGGAUAUAGGAUCGAUUACAUGUGCUAUAUUCAUCCGUUCUAAAAUUUUCCAAAUGCCUGGGGCAUUAAGAAGGGAAAAGGUUUAGAACUGGAUAUGACUAAAAGGAUUAAACAAUUGUCGAGGACAAUCUAAGGUUUACCAAAGAUUGGUUACUCAAGGACAAUUGGAAGUAUAGUGAUAAUUCUGGAAGGACCAUAUUGACAUAAUCUGUAAGGAGGCAACUCUUGUUCAGAAGUGAUAGUCAAAAUGGAAUCUGGAAAUGUUUCAAAGUUAGAAUUUUCAAUCUGUGUAAGAUUAAGGAAACUUAAUGCAAGAAGGAUAUUUCCAAGGAGUUGAUCUCCUUUGGAAUACUCUGUAAUGAUUGUUGCCAAGUCUUUGUGACUUUGUGCAUAAUCAUUACAAGAGGAUCAAUGCAUAUAAGUUUAGAAUCUAACAGAUUUCAGUAAAUGGCAUGAAUUUGGAAUUCUUGCAUUUGCAGUAAGGAUUUGGGAGUGUGAAAAGAGAAUCAUUGAAGUUAUGUUCAAUUGAUCUAGUUCACAAAGUAAAGAUCAUAGACAAACAUAGUAUGCAUACUUGGUGUGUGGCAUGACUAGUGUUUAAGAAAACAUAGUGUACAUGCUUGGAGCAUGGGACAACUAUUGUUUUAAAUUCAAGAAUAAAGUUGAUAGCUGAAACAGUAUACAAUGAAUAAUGUGUAAUCAUAUGGUGAUAAAUAAAAGGUGUUUUAUUUAUGUUCAAAGGGUUGAUACCAUAUUGGAUUCAAUUAUUAUUGUGUUUCAUUUUGCAUGUUUUGACUUCCCGAAUAAACUGGGUUAUUCUUCCGGAAUGACUAAGUUAUUCAAACCAUCCACAGUCGGUCAUAUGUUGGAAGUAGAUAUGAAUUAAGACUGUCAUGGGUUGGCUUGUAGAGGUCUAAGGUGUUGGACAAAGGGCUACAACACUCAUGAGUGCUCAUAAGUUCUGAGUAUUGGAUUCAACCCGCGCUCAUUGGAAUCACUUCAUGGAUUUUAUCACGAGUGAUCAUGAGACGAUAAUAUCUUAUAUUCUUCAAACCUAGAGAUAUGAGUUGUUACUAUGAGUUGAUAGUACAUUGAUUGCACGAAAACGCAUUUGGUAACUCGGUGCUAUAAAACGUGCCUUUGUGUAUGAUUCAACAAGUAGUAGAACAAGCCAUAUGAGUCGAAGUUUAUCCAUUCCUUUUACCUUCGGGAUAAAAGCGAUAUCUGUGGGCCCCUCGAUGAUUUGAUGAUGACAAAUGGAAGUGCUCGGCCGGGCCAGGACUGAUUUGAUUUGUUCAAUUAGUCAGUCGUCAUAAAUCGGAAAUCGGGAAACAACAAAUGGACAGAGAGAAUGAUUAUAAUCCAUGUCUCAGUCCAUAUGAUAUCUAGAAUGGAGGAAUAUAUGAUCCCUUAUCUAAUGGACAAGUCAUUGACAAAGGUCAGAGUUCAUCUACAAGGUCAGAGUUCGACAGAAGCUUUUGAGAGCUACGAUUGCCAGUUGGUUCCUGAAGUCAUACGCAAUAAUAGUUUUAGACUUAUCCAAGUGGGAGACUGUUGGAUUAAUGUCUAAGUCCAUAACUAUAAUUGGUAAGACUUGACCCGACCCGGCAUGGUCCAUUUGGGUUGCAUACCAUCAUGCACUUGGAUAGACUAUAAUGAGAGAAAUAAGACACUUAUGGUUAUUAAUAUAUUAUAAGUUCUAGUAUAUUAAUAAUAAGAAUAAUAAGAUUAUUUAAUUAGUAUUGAUCAAGAAUUAAUCUAGGAUUAAUUAAGUGAUCAAAAGAAGACUAAUUAAAUAUAUGGGUUGAUUGUGUAAAUCAUCCAUACUUGUAUAGUGGGCUAAUGCUCCAUGGAUAAUCAAGUUGGGCUAAAACCCAUAGGAUGGUCCAUGGAUGCUCCAUGGUGUAUUUGUACCCAUGGAUCCAAGGAAAUGGAAAGCCAUGACAAUUAAGAGUUUACCCUAAUUGUGUAACUAUAUAAGCAUCUUAUUAUUGAGGAAAAAUCGGCCACUAGUGAUAGUGAAGAAAGGGCUAGCCGAUUUUGAAGAGUGUAGAAUUCUCUCAAGUCAUUCCAAGUGUUUUGAUGAUUGUGAUUCCAUUUGAGGUGUCACACUUGGGGCACUAGGCACUCAAGCUUCAUGAAGACUUUCUACAUCAAAGAGGUAUGUAUUCUAUCUUGUUAUAGUCAUUGUUUUGUAUGCUAGAUUAGGAUAAUACCUUGGAAGUUCUUAUUUGCAUGUAUAAUAGAGAAAACAUAGAUCCAAGGUAUUUAGGGUUGCAUGUACACUUAGGAGUGUUAGAAUGCUCAAAACCCAACAGUGGUAUCAGAGCCUAGGCUUGUUUUCUUGUUAUACCUGCAAUAGAAGCUGAAAAAACGAAUCUGGUGCUGUCUGGCCAUCAGACUCGGCGAGUCCAUCAGGAGACUCGACGAGUCCAUGCCUAAAAAGUGAUGAAUUCGAUCCAACUCGCCGAGUUUGUUCAUGCACUCGACGAGUUGGACCCCCAGACAGCAUAUUUUCGAGUUUUUUGGCUAGAAAUGGACUAGGAACAUUACCCUAAGUUGUUUUUGAACUUAUAAACUUGUUUUUGAUGUGGUAAUGUUCAUGCUAAUCCAUUUUCAAAGAUAAUUGUCAAUAGAUUCAUGUUUUGUAUUAGUUUAAGGUUUAGACUAAUUACAUGAAAAAGUUUGAUUUGAAUUAUCUUGUUCUUAUGAGUUGCUUAGAUUAAUAGAAAUGUUGAGUGAAAUAGUUGUUUUCAAUCCAUUUUAAUCUAAGAGUUGAGUAUAAAAUGUGUUUGUGUAACUUGUCCUCAAGUUACAUGAAGAGUCACAUUAAAGACUCAUAAAACUCAUAAAAGUUGGCAAUGGUUACAAAAUGAAGAGUCUUGUGUCAUUGAAUAAUUUUUUUUGACUCCAUAACUUGUCCUCAAGUUAUGGAAGUUCAAGAGUCACUUCAUUAAAGAAAAAUAUGUAACCAUAAUUAAAUCCAUAAGUUAUAAAAUAAAGAAAAAGUUAGUUCUUUUAUUAGUUUAAAGUCUUCCAUAACUUGUCCUCAAGUUAUGGAACUUGAAGAGUUUUUGGAUUAAAACUACUUUAAACACAUAAGUUAUGGAAUUAAUUAGUUUUGAAUAGUUUCAAAACUUGCCCUCAAGUUUUGGAAUUUGAAAAGUUUUCAAGUAUGAAUACUUUAAUUCCAAGUUAGCCCUUAGAAUUUUAAAAGUUAAAAUUCAACCCUUAUACUUUAUAAUAUUAUAAGUUAAUAAUAUAUAUAUGUAUAAGAGUAAAGUCAGUCUUACCGCUAGUACGCCUCAUUCACGAAGCCGGUCUAUAAGGUGGGUAUAAGGUUGUUGCCUAUAAAAUGGCAACUUAAUGGGUGUCCACUCUCACCCACCGCUUGCUUGACUGGUGGAGGGUCGUUAGCCGAACGGGUUUGACAGGACUAGAAUUCUCCCUUCAUUAAAAGUAUUAAUGAUAAUACUAAGUAACUAAACUCUUAAUAAUACCCAAUCUUAGUUACUUAGGAAAAAUGUGAAUAAGGUGCUAAUCCAUGAAAUUACACUUUACACUUUGUCUAAGUCGUUAGUGGAGCGUGUGUGGUUAACCGGCACACUAACUUGGACUUAACAAGGUAGGUAAAGGGUGACUUAAUAUUUAUCAUAGUAUCGAUGGAGCGUGUGUGGUUAACCGGCACAUCGAUUGAGGGGUAAUUUAUUAAGGGUACCAAGUGAUUUGCAUGGUUACUUCACACCUUGUUUUGUGAUCCUCGGCAUCCCAGUCACAAAACCUGAAGGGCACACUCGAGAUUGAAACAUGCCUUUGAAAAGUUCAAUGAAUCUCAAAGAUCUAGGAGUUUCAAAACCAAUUAAAACCUAAUAAUACAUUUCGUUUAUCUUGGUGGAAAUUGGUGAAUCGUCAUUCACCUACCUUCAAAUAUUUUAUAGCUUGGAUUACGGCAUACCUCUUCUAAGUUAUAAAAUAGUUUGUUGGGUCCUAGCCUUAAUAUUUCAUAUUGGGUGUCAUAUUAAGGACUUUAAAUCAACUAUCUUGAAUAUCUCCCAAAAGAUGUCUGGUUUAGACACCUAUGAUCUUCCCAAAUCUCUUGAAACAAGGUUUCCUAAUGAAGAUGAUGUCCCAUGGAUAUCAUACUUCUUCACCUCUUCAAAUUAUUCUCCCUAACCCACAAGUUCUUGAAAAGUUUAAGGUCACUCAGGCCCUAUUAGCAAGGCAAGGUCUAGGUGUGGUCACAUCUUGGAGAUGUAGUCACAUAUUGACAAGCCGGGAGAGUUGGGUGUCA